Molecule: non-coding RNA, 1912 nt
Organism: Phalacrocorax carbo (great cormorant)
Lineage: Eukaryota; Metazoa; Chordata; Aves; Suliformes; Phalacrocoracidae
Source: RefSeq, a predicted model, not a curated record
AGGACCUGGGAAAAAGGCAAUCUGAGGGUGCUGGUGAAUAGCAAAUGCAAGCCAGGCACUAAGAAGGGAGGGUCCCUGCUCUGCCUUAGGAAGCCAUCACGGGGAGUUCAAUGAUUUUUUUUUUUUUCUCCCAAAGGAAAAAGAAAACAUACAGAAAGAGGAAAAAAAUGAAGAGGCAUCAGUGGAAAUGAAAAGCCUGACAGCAAGGACUGAGGCAACCUUAAGCACUGCUGCGAGGGAGAAGGAAAUGGUUUGCCUGAGCUGAUCAUGCAUCAAACCCUCCCCCGCCACAAAAAAAAAAAAAAAAAGCCAACAAAAAACAACCCAACAACAACAGGAAAAAAAACCAACCCCAAAGUAAACAGCCUUUCUAGGAGGCACCAGCUGGAGGAGAUGGAUCACAGGCUGAAGUAUCAGUGUACUCAUGCAGCCGGUUCCCAAGGCAGAGGCCAGUUUUGCUGACAUUCGUGCCCACUUAGUCGCAGAGUUCCAGGACCAUACAAAAGGCUGUUACUCAAAACGUGGGGAUGCGCCUACCGCAUGAAGUACAAAAUUCAAAGAGCAAAAGCGCCACCCUCCCAAGUGCUAAAGAUGGAUUGCAAGGGAACAACAGAAAGAAAAAAAAAUAGAGUUCAAAAUGAGAGGAGCUGAUGCUUACAACUGAACUAAGCAUCGUGUUUCCUCCUAUAACAUCAUGUCCAUGUCUUCCUCCCCCAAGCCCCCCAAGUAAUUUCAGUUUCACAGAGUACCUAGGAAUGGCACCUUCUCUCUGUACUCCUGAUGCCCGAGAUGUAACAGAAGCCCCCAACCAUGUGUGCCAGCUAGUUAAACUCUGCUGCCAUUCCCAGAAUGCCUAAUGAGGACUUCACUUCCACAUUUACAGGAGGCUCUCCCAUAUUAAAACCUUGUGGUUUUAUUUUUCAGGGAUACAAUUUGCCGGUUGGCAAGCAAUGAAGCUCUUGCAUGUGUCUGUGAAAACACGUAAAUAAAACAUUCCAUAGGAAAAGAAAAUGUGAGCAAUGGGAGCUAUUAAAAUAGCUGCCCAUUCCUGGAAGCUUCUGACCACAUGGACCAAUUUCCAGUCUUCCUUCCUCCAGCGCCAUUAUGUAAUGGAGAGAUUUAAUAUACAUUUUACAGACAAGAGAGUCCUUGCCUCCUUGAUGCAUUGCCUUCAUCACUGCAGCUCAGAGAAUUUGGUGAGUCAGAAAUCCCAGUAGUGGGAAGUUGCAGGUUUACAAUAAUACAUGGCUGAACAAUACGUUGCGAUUGAGCCAACACAGAAAUUUCCCUGUUUUUAUCAGUGUGAGCACAGAGACGUGGCUCUUGAUGUUCCCAGAGUUUUUAACUAAAGGGAAUUUAGGAAAAAAACCCUCAUCCAACUUGACAGACCUUGCCUUUACACAUGACAGACUUCGACUGAAUAACGACAACACAACAAGAAAGCAGAUACACUAGCAGCUCUAAAGUAAACAAAGCUUAAUGUAAAAGCACCUGGGAAAAUCCUGAAAGAAAAUUACUAUAAAACCAGUGACUGGAAAAGACGCUGACAGUACUUGAUACAGCUAUGCUUCAGCCACAGGCUGUAAUUUCAUUCUGUUGUUGCAUUAUGAUGAUUUCUUAAUAGAGAAAUGGUGUUUGCUUUAAAAACAAAAUAAAAUGCUUUAAUAAUUCUUAUCAACCCCAAAAUCUUACCAGACUCACUCAUAACUUCUCUUUGCAAUUAUUCAAUAGUGUUAAAAAGUUGUGUGAUGGGACAGAAAUCACCAAGUAUUUAGAGGAUGUUCUGAGAAUUCACAAAGUUUCUUUAUAAAUUGCAAGGGAGAUUUACUGAAAGCAAGAGAACCUUUGCAUUUGCCUUCUAUGAUACAACAGAAUGCAACUUUUGCAUAUUAAUAAAAAACUUUUUGUUGUU